This 253-nucleotide ribosomal RNA is filed under the name uncultured bacterium. Its description in RNAcentral is "partial 16S ribosomal RNA". It matches the Rfam family "Bacterial small subunit ribosomal RNA", at positions 524 to 776 of the family's 1533-position model. The record is from RNAcentral.
UACGUAGGUGGCAAGCGUUGUCCGGAAUUAUUGGGCGUAAAGCGCGCGCAGGCGGCCUCUUAAGUCUGAUGUGAAAGCCCCCGGCUCAACCGGGGAGGGCCAUUGGAAACUGGGAGGCUUGAGUAUAGGAGGGAAGAGUGGAAUUCCACGUGUAGCGGUGAAAUGCGUAGAGAUGUGGAGGAACACCAGUGGCGAAGGCGACUCUUUGGCCUAUAACUGACGCUGAGGCGCGAAAGCGUGGGGAGCAAACAGG